RNAcentral lists this ribosomal RNA (493 nucleotides) under uncultured bacterium. RNAcentral describes it as "bacterial SSU rRNA". It matches the Rfam family "Bacterial small subunit ribosomal RNA", at positions 523 to 1017 of the family's 1533-position model. The record is from RNAcentral.
AAACGUAGGGUGCAAGCGUUGUCCGGAAUUACUGGGUGUAAAGGGAGCGCAGGCGGACCGGCAAGUUGGAAGUGAAAACUAUGGGCUCAACCCAUAAAUUGCUUUCAAAACUGCUGGCCUUGAGUAGUGCAGAGGUAGGUGGAAUUCCCGGUGUAGCGGUGGAAUGCGUAGAUAUCGGGAGGAACACCAGUGGCGAAGGCGACCUACUGGGCACCAACUGACGCUGAGGCUCGAAAGCAUGGGUAGCAAACAGGAUUAGAUACCCUGGUAGUCCACACCGUAAACGAUGAAUGCCAGACGUCAGCAAGCAUGCUUGUUGGUGUCACACCUAACGGAUUAAGCAUUCCGCCUGGGGAGUACGGUCGCAAGAUUAAAACUCAAAGGAAUUGACGGGGCCCGCACAAGCGGUGGAGCAUGUGGUUUAAUUCGAAGCAACGCGCAGAACCUUACCAACCCUUGACAUCCUCGGACCGCCAGAGAGAUCUGGUUUUCU